Molecule: ribosomal RNA, 588 nt
Filed under: uncultured bacterium
Lineage: Bacteria
Description: partial 16S ribosomal RNA
Rfam family: Bacterial small subunit ribosomal RNA
Source: RNAcentral
UGGGGAAUCUUCCGCAAUGGACGAAAGUCUGACGGAGCAACGCCGCGUGUAUGAUGAAGGUCUUCGGAUUGUAAAGUACUGUCAUUGGGGAAGAACGGUUUUCUUGAAAAGAUUGAGAAGACAUGACGGUACCCAAGGAGGAAGCCCCGGCUAACUACGUGCCAGCAGCCGCGGUAAUACGUAGGGGGCAAGCGUUGUCCGGAAUUAUUGGGCGUAAAGGGCGCGUAGGCGGGCCUUUAAGUCCGGUGUGAAAGAUCAGGGCUCAACCCUGAGAGUGCAUCGGAAACUGGAGGCCUUGAGGACAGGAGAGGAAAGUGGAAUUCCACGUGUAGCGGUGAAAUGCGUAGAUAUGUGGAGGAACACCAGUGGCGAAGGCGACUUUCUGGACUGUAACUGACGCUGAGGCGCGAAAGCGUGGGGAGCAAACAGGAUUAGAUACCCUGGUAGUCCACGCCGUAAACGAUGAGUGCUAGGUGUAGAGGGUAUCGACCCCUUCUGUGCCGCAGUUAACACAAUAAGCACUCCGCCUGGGGAGUACGGCCAGCAAGUUGAAACUUAAAGGAAUUGACGGGGUCAUAGCUGUUUCCU